RNAcentral lists this non-coding RNA (68 nucleotides) under Acyrthosiphon pisum (pea aphid). Lineage: Eukaryota; Metazoa; Arthropoda; Insecta; Hemiptera; Aphididae. The record is from RNAcentral.
ACCCCCCGACGGGACCCACCUUGGCGUGGUGGGGGGGGCUCACCGAUUCAUUCGGUGCUAAGAGGUAC